UAGACCUGUGGGGAUGUUAGACCCAUAUUUCCUGGGGCUUUUUAGGGAGGGGAAGAGUUUUGUGGGGAAAAUGGUGGGAGGGAAGCUAAGGGUUAGGUUUCCUUUCCCUCCCUGCCACAUCCAUGUUCCAAAAAACUCUUCUAAUGAUGCCUUGGUGUAGAGAAGCGCAAAUGGUCUUGCAAAUUUUCCAUUGUAGAGUUCAGACCCUGAUCUACAUACAUUAUGUAGCAGAACGAGGUGAGAGAAUCCGGAGACAGUUGUGCCAUUUCAGAUGGCAGAUGAAGGAGGGAUAAAGAAGAUAAAGAAGGGAGAGCAGGAAGGAUCUUGAAGUUGACCAUCAACACUUAGCACCUGGACAGCAGACGGAGCAGGCACGCAUAUCACCUUGUCAUUGCCUUCCCCAUUAUGAUACUACAAAUUAGAUCUUCAGAUGUUAAGUUAUCCACAGUGUUUUAAAAGGAGAAGGCACCUGGCCAAUUCCAGAGUCUGAUGUUGAUGCUAAAAUAAAAUGCCACCAUUCUGCUUCAAAA
Molecule: long non-coding RNA, 530 nt
Organism: Rhineura floridana
Lineage: Eukaryota; Metazoa; Chordata; Lepidosauria; Squamata; Rhineuridae
Exons: 4
Source: RefSeq, a predicted model, not a curated record